CAGUGCCAACUCGACUCAACACACCUUCUCCGUUCUUUGGUGUCUACUUCUCUCGCCCCUCGCCUGUUUGCUUGUAGCCUUCCUUACAGAAACCAAGAAAUCUAAAACACAGCUCAUCUUCGUCUCUCGUACCUCAGCAACAAUGACGGCCGCCGUGGAUCUCGAAGGCGUGGCGCUUCACGGCCAUAUGAAGGGUGUGACAAUGCUAAAGUUCAAUCGCGACGGCGACCUUCUCUUUUCAUCUGCCAAGGACACGAACUGCAGCGCGUGCUGCUGGCAGGUAAAGACGGGCAAGCUGCUCGGCUCCUACACAACGGUGGGUCAGGUGGAAGGUCGCACGUACGAUGCGGCCAUGGUGGCGCUAGAUGUGAACCGGGAGUCCACACUUUUGGCGACCGCCAGCGCGGGCGAGGAGGUGCUUCUGUGGAGCGUAGAGUCUGGUGCUCUUCUUGGCUCCGUGAGCCGCAGCCUAUCGUCCGGCGCCAGCGUCGGCUUCUCGCACGAUGACACGCUGAUGAUGGUGGCCACAAAGGGCCGCUCCAGCACAAGCUCGGCGAUUCAGGUCUACAACGUACCCUUCACGGUGCCCAAGGCCGGUGAGGACAUCGCCCCUGUCAAGACGCCCUUCACCACUUUUUCCACCUUCGAGACCCCGGACACGAUCACGUGGGCCGCCUGGGGGCCGACGAACGAGACGAUCUACUACUCCGAGGGCGGCUACAUGAACAUCCUCGACGUGGAGGCAAACAAGGUGAUCCGCAGUCGCCAGAUUCACGAGGACGAGAACGAGGUGAUCAACCGCUUCAGCUGGGACCCUAACUACCUCGCCUUAGCCACCGCCUCGACCGACAAGACGUCUCACCUCAUAGACUUCCGCGACCUGGCCACCAUUCAGGUGUACCGGAGCGACGUCCCGGUGAACGACGUGUCGAUCAGCCCAAACGCCGACCACGUAAUCCUCGGCGGUGGCAUGGAUGCCGCUUCUGUGACGACGCAAGGCGGGCAGUCCAUCUUCGAGGUUAAGUUCUUUCACAAGGUUCACGGCCACCAGCUCGGCCAACUGCGCUGCCACUUUGGUACAAUCAAUGCCAUGUCCUUCCACCCCGACGGUCGCGGCUUCGCCAGCGCCAGCUACGACGGUCUCAUCAAGAUGUACCGUUUCGGCGACUCGUACGAUUCCACGCCUGGCGCGCAGCCUCUGUGGACGCUGUAGAGAGGUGAAUACGGCGAAGAGAAGGCUCUCUCUGUGUAUGCUUGUAUGCGUGUGCUUGCUUGGGAACGUGUGCACACAUCACAUCUGUUUUUGUGCUGCUCGCCCUUCGAUUGGUGCACGGGCGUCUGCCUGCCUGCCUGCCUGUCCGUCUGUCUGUGUGCUUGUGUGCACAUGUGUGUAUGUGCGUGUGUCUGUGUGCCUUCGUGCGUCUUCUCGUUCUAUCUGGUAGGGAGCUUUACCUUUCUUGGUGUGUGUGCGCGUGUGUGAAGGUAUCUCAUGUGCCGGUGGUUGUCUUGUUCGCAUUUUUAAAGAGGUAAACGCCCGCCGUUGUGCAGACGGGUGCGUGUGAGUAAGCAUAACUGACUCUCCCUCUCUCCUAGUGGAAAGACCGGCUAGGGGUCACCUACUAAAGAAGGAAUGCAAGUUGACUAAUAAUCAGGGGAGCUUUCAGGCGCAGAGGCGUUGACAUACGGAGAGGAGGAGAGGAGGGGUCCUCGGUGAGAGGAAUGGUGGCGGUACAAGCGGGGCUGUGCUUUCUCCAACUUCUCGCUCCGUGCGCUUAGCGAUAACUGUCCUUCUCCACGGAUGCACGGCUGCGUUCGUGAGCGGCUGGGCAGCGCGGCGAAGGGCCGGCGAGAGUUUGUGCAGGGUAGAGGGGGUGGGGAGAAGCGAUGAUCCUGCCGCGGCUCGUGCGUCAGUGUGCAUCACUCUUUUUCGUUGUUGUUUUCCUUCCCCUCUCCUUUCCUCAGCGCCCCCUUUUUUUUUCACGGCCACUGCAGCAAGUGCAUGCACCGGCCUUGUCGACCUCGCAUGCUUUAAAUCUUCGCACGCUGCUUACCAACGCACCUUCACCUACGCUCUCGCUCCCUCUUUUGCCUACUUUGUAACCAACCCUACGUAUUUUCAAG
This 2121-nucleotide unclassified non-coding RNA is filed under the name Leishmania donovani. RNAcentral's name for it is "gene:LdHU3.36.5460(CDS-product:eukaryotic_transla tion_initiation_factor_3_subunit_2_putative)". The record is from RNAcentral. Lineage: Eukaryota; Euglenozoa; Kinetoplastea; Trypanosomatida; Trypanosomatidae.